AAGAGAGGCCAGCCCCCAUUCCUGGGGCUCCCCGAGGAGCUGGCUUUCAGCAGGGUUUAGAGCAGCACGAAAAGUGAACUGACCCUGGAAAAAUGCCUUAGACCUUGUGAUCCAAGAUGGCUGCUGGACCUCCAGUUCCAAGCAGGAAGUACAGGAAGCGGGCAAAGGCAACAAGGGUGUGAUGAACAUGAAGCCAGCCCCCUUCGCUGAGAUUUCCCAGAAACCUCACCCCCUGAUUUCUGCUUGCACUCACUGGCCAAUUCUAUCUGCAAGGAUGAUAAGAAAUAUUUUAUUUUAGCUGAGCACAUUGCUGCCCAGUGUUCUAUUACCAUGAAAAUAAGAGGAAAAUGGAUGUUGUGUAACCCAGAGGCUUGGUGCAUGCAUCAGAAUCUUCUGGUGGCCUUAUUAAGACACGGUAGUUCCCCCUUAUUCACGGGAGAUCCAUUCCAAGACCCCCAAUGGAUGCCUAAAACCACAGAUAGUACUGGGUAAUCUUCUCAUCUGUGAGGAUAUGGAACCCCAACCUCUUCCUGGACACCUGAUGAUCUGCUUGUGAUGGGCUCAGAGUCUUGAAACACAGAACUAUGAGCUCAUCUCAUAUCCCAAUCCAGCAGCAUGGAAACCUCAGACUGCAAGGCCCAAGACUGGCACUUGUUCUCUCCCAACUCUUUUCUUUCUCUCUCUCCUUUCUUUUAUCCCUUAAUUCCUUCUUGCUUCCUUCCAAGAUUUAUACUAUUACCUUUUAGGCAAAACAUCCUGAACAUGUAAAAUAAACUAAUUAAAAUCAGAAUCCACACGUUCAUGGAGUCAUAGAACCUAAGGGUUGAAAAGAACCCUUAAGGCCAGGCACGGUGGCUCACCUCUGUAAUCCCAGCACUUUGGGAGACCGAGGCAGGCGGAUCACGAGUCUGCGCCAUUUGUGGAGAACUGCAUUUCACCAGCACUCCAUUCAUGAAGAAUCUACGAGCGCCCUCUAGAGGAAUUUUCUCUCUUUCACAUCUACACACGGUGAAAAGGGCCAACUAGGGCUGCUCUUGUCCGGGCUGAAUUCUGGAAAGCAUCAAUUUCUCAGGAUAUAUAUGCAGCGUUUAAGUACAUUUUCUGCGAGAAGCAGAUGCAUUGGUUUGCAAGUCAGAGCGAAAGCCAGUGCUGCUGUUCAGAGUCAGAGCUGGGCAGGAUGAAGUUUAAUGAACAUUAUUAACCAUUGAGAAGAUGCAUUUCUUGCUGAGUAGCCCCCAGGGCAGACGACAGCUCAGUCACCCUGGAAGAAUUCAACCAGAAAAAGACCUCACAAACCGACAGUUCUGUGCUAGUGAGAACCAUUAU
RNAcentral lists this long non-coding RNA (1326 nucleotides) under Homo sapiens (human). Its description in RNAcentral is "long non-coding RNA NONHSAT199912.1". Lineage: Eukaryota; Metazoa; Chordata; Mammalia; Primates; Hominidae. The record is from RNAcentral.